RNAcentral lists this non-coding RNA (29 nucleotides) under Homo sapiens (human). Lineage: Eukaryota; Metazoa; Chordata; Mammalia; Primates; Hominidae. The record is from RNAcentral.
UGACAGAAGACCUGUGGAAUUAUGAAGUU